UAGUGCUCCAUUUGCUCUCCCUUGUUAAUCAAGUCCAGGAGCCCAGACUGUGGAAUGGUGAUGCUCAUAGUAUAUUCUGAAAUCAAUGUGCCAGGUGUUUACUGGUGGUAAAGGGGAUUACUAACAAAGGAAGCAGCAAUGAAUAAUAUCGUGCUGACUUGGAUGCAGAUAAACAAGCAAGGACAACAGUGCAUAGAAAAGUAAGCAGCUAAACUUCCCUCUAUCCAGAAGCCAAGGCAACAUAAACCAGUGUCAAGCAUAUUGGCAAGAUUCCUG
Long non-coding RNA from Peromyscus eremicus (cactus mouse), 276 nucleotides. RefSeq lists it as uncharacterized. The transcript is spliced from 3 exons. The record is from RefSeq and is a predicted model, not a curated record. Lineage: Eukaryota; Metazoa; Chordata; Mammalia; Rodentia; Cricetidae.